CAAGGCAUGAGGUAGCCAUGCAGGUAUGGUCGGACCAAGGCAUGAGGUAGCCAUGCAGGUAUGGUAAGACCAAGGCAUGAGGUAGCCAUGCAGGUAUGUUCAGACCAAGGCAUGAGGUAGCCAUGCAGGUAUGUUCAGACCAAGGCAUGAGGUAGCCAUGCAGGUAUGGUCGGACCAAGGCAUGAGGUAGCCAUGCAGGUAUGUUCAGACCAAGGCAUGAGGUAGCCAUGCAGGUAUGGAGAGACCAAGGCAUGAGGUAGCCAUGCAGGUAUGGUAAGACCAAGGCAUGAGGUAGCCAUGCAGGUAUGGUAAGACCAAGGCAUGAGGUAGCCAUGCAGGUAUG
RNAcentral lists this long non-coding RNA (343 nucleotides) under Salmo salar (Atlantic salmon). Its description in RNAcentral is "lncRNA (ENSSSAG00000085314.1)". Lineage: Eukaryota; Metazoa; Chordata; Actinopteri; Salmoniformes; Salmonidae. The record is from RNAcentral.